UGGGGAAUCUUGGACAAUGGGCGAAAGCCUGAUCCAGCAACGCCGCGUGAGUGAUGAAGGCCUUCGGGUCGUAAAGCUCUGUCGGUUGGAACGAAUAAAAGCCACCUAAUACGUGGCUUUAUGACGGUACCAGCAAAGGAAGCACCGGCUAACUCUGUGCCAGCAGCCGCGGUAAGACAGAGGGUGCAAGCGUUGUUCGGAAUUACUGGGCGUAAAGGGCGUGUAGGCGGUGGAGUGUGUCUGAUGUGAAAUCCCUCGGCUUAACCGGGGAACUGCAUCGGAAACUACUCUGCUGGAGUGCGAGAGAGGAAGGCGGAAUUCCCAGUGUAGAGGUGAAAUUCGUAGAUACUGGGAGGAACACCGGAGGCGAAGGCGGCCUUCUGGAUCGCAACUGACGCUGAGACGCGAAAGCGUGGGUAGCAAACAGGAUUAGAUACCCCGGUAGUCCCUGAGCGGGCUGGCAAGGCGCAU
This 471-nucleotide ribosomal RNA is filed under the name uncultured bacterium. RNAcentral describes it as "bacterial SSU rRNA". It matches the Rfam family "Bacterial small subunit ribosomal RNA", at positions 355 to 825 of the family's 1533-position model. The record is from RNAcentral.